AGUUGAGUUUCAUUUCACCAAAUAAAACUAAUUCUUGUGUCGACGACCGGAAAAAACUCUCAUCAGAUUUCACGAGGAGACAAAAGUUGUUAUCAUAUCAGGCAUCUCAUUCUCGAUGGUGAGAUGGCUAAAUUGGUGGGAUUGGCUUUCGCAUCGUCGAAAGGCCAACUACAGCUGGUGGAAUAAACAAACACUCCCAGAAAGCCAAGUGGUGGAGAAUUGGCUUAGAUUAGACUAGUGAAGAAGUUUGGUGCGUAGCACGUGCAGCCUCCAAUACUUGAUGCUGCCAACCGCACUUUUGAGGGCUGCUUCUUGAGGAGUUGUUGUUGUGGCUGAAAAUAUCCUUCUACUCUGAGAAUCCUCUAACCUUUGUGCUUGGAGAAAGAAGGAUCAGCCCUGCACUGCGAUGUCGUCGUGGAUACUAGCAGGCUUGGGAUCGUUCGGAUCGUCCCUCAUCGGGAGCGUGAUAGGUAAGAUCACCGACUAUGUGAUCGAAAGAGUUUUGGAGGAUCCUGGAGUCGCUGACCUCCACAAGCUGAAGGACACUCUUU
RNAcentral lists this long non-coding RNA (551 nucleotides) under Musa acuminata (dwarf banana). RNAcentral's name for it is "long non-coding RNA (MACU_LNC011013)". Lineage: Eukaryota; Viridiplantae; Streptophyta; Magnoliopsida; Zingiberales; Musaceae. The record is from RNAcentral.